Molecule: ribosomal RNA, 301 nt
Filed under: uncultured bacterium
Lineage: Bacteria
Description: partial 16S ribosomal RNA
Rfam family: Bacterial small subunit ribosomal RNA
Source: RNAcentral
CAGCCGCCGCGGUAAUACGAAGGGGGCUGGCGUUGUUCGGAUUUACUGGGCGUAAAGCGCACGUAGGCGGAUCGAUCAGUCAGGGGUGAAAUCCCAGAGCUCAACUCUGGAACUGCCUUUGAUACUGUCGAUCUGGAGUAUGGAAGAGGUGAGUGGAAUUCCGAGUGUAGAGGUGAAAUUCGUAGAUAUUCGGAAGAACACCAGUGGCGAAGGCGGCUUACUGGCUCAUACUGGACGCUGAGGUGCGAAAGCGUGGGGAGCAAACAGGAUUAGAUACCCCUGUAGUCCCUGUCUCUUAUAC